GGAUCGAACCCUCAACCUCAUGGCUCCUAGUUGGAUUCGUUAACCACUGUGCUACGACGGGAACUCCAGAACUACUCUGAACUUCUUAACCCAGAAGGCUAGGAGAUAUUGUCCCCAGUGUUCAGAAGAGCACACUGAGGCACAGAGAAGUGAGGUGACUUUGUCCAGACUGCACAGCUGAUAUUUUGGGGAUGCCGAUCAUGUGCCAAACAUUGACAUUGGUACUACAGCAAAUUCAGAGAUAGGCACUGUGUCUAUCUGGUCAUCACUGUAUCCUCAGUACGCAAGACAAGUUCCCGGCACAGAGUGGACACGCCAUCACUAUGUAUUGCAUGAAUAAACAGAUGAAUGUUCACGACCUUA
Molecule: long non-coding RNA, 363 nt
Organism: Sus scrofa (pig)
Lineage: Eukaryota; Metazoa; Chordata; Mammalia; Artiodactyla; Suidae
Source: RefSeq, a predicted model, not a curated record